GAUAAACGCUGGCGGCGCACAUAAGACAUGCAAGUCGAACGGACCAAAUGCAUUGUUUACAUUGCAAGAGGUUAGUGGCGGACUGGUGAGUAACACGUAAGCAACCUACCUAGAAGAGGGGAAUAACAGCGAGAAAUCGCUGCUAAUACCGCAUACCUUGACUUUAUUGCAUGAUGAAGUUAAGAAAGGAGCAAUCCGCUUUUAGAUGGGCUUGCGUCUGAUUAGACAGUUGGUGAGGUAACGGCUCACCAAAUCCACGAUCGGUAGGGGGUCUGAGAGGACUACCCCCCACACUGGUACUGAGAUACGGACCAG
RNAcentral lists this ribosomal RNA (315 nucleotides) under uncultured bacterium. RNAcentral's name for it is "bacterial SSU rRNA". It matches the Rfam family "Bacterial small subunit ribosomal RNA", at positions 28 to 334 of the family's 1533-position model. The record is from RNAcentral.